GACAGAGGAUGCAAGGGUUAUCUGGAAUGAUUGGGCGUAAAGUGUCUGUAGGUGGCUUUUUAAGUCUGCCGUCAAAUCCCAGGGCUUAACCCUGGACAGGCGGUGGAAACUACCAAGCUCGAGUAGGGGCAGAGGGAAUUUCCGGUGGAGCGGUGAAAUGAGUAGAGAUCGGAAAGAACACCAACGGCUAAGGCACUCUGCUGGGCCGACACUGACACUGAGAGACGAAAGCUAGGGGAGCAAAUGGG
RNAcentral lists this ribosomal RNA (248 nucleotides) under uncultured bacterium. RNAcentral describes it as "partial 16S ribosomal RNA". It matches the Rfam family "Bacterial small subunit ribosomal RNA", at positions 524 to 776 of the family's 1533-position model. The record is from RNAcentral.